Molecule: ribosomal RNA, 456 nt
Filed under: uncultured Opitutus sp.
Lineage: Bacteria; Pseudomonadati; Verrucomicrobiota; Opitutia; Opitutales; Opitutaceae
Description: bacterial SSU rRNA
Rfam family: Bacterial small subunit ribosomal RNA
Source: RNAcentral
CGGGGGGCAGCAGUUUCGAAUCAUUCACAAUGGGCGAAAGCCUGAUGGUGCGACGCCGCGUGAGGGAUGAAGGCCUUCGGGUUGUAAACCUCUGUCACCGGGGAAGAAACGCUUCAAGUUAAUAGCUUGAAGCCUGACUUAACCCGGAGAGGAAGCAGUGGCUAACUCUGUGCCAGCAGCCGCGGUAAUACAGAGACUGCAAGCGUUAUUCGGAUUCACUGGGCGUAAAGGGUGCGCAGGCGGCCAAAUGUGUGAGGCGUGAAAGCCCGGGGCUUAACCCCGGAAUUGCACCUCAAACUAUUUGGCUAGAGCAUUGGAGAGGGUAGCAGAAUUCACGGUGUAGCAGUGAAAUGCGUAGAUAUCGUGAGGAAUACCAGAGGCGAAGGCGGCUACCUGGACAAUUGCUGACGCUCAGGCACGAAAGCGUGGGGAGCAAAAGGGAUUAGAUACCCGAGU